GCCCGCCUAGCUCAAUCGGAUAGAGCGUCAGACUUUUAAAGCUGUUCGUCCCGCGAGGCCCCCUCGUAGGGGUCCUCGCGGCGCGACUGUGCCAUCUGAAGGCUGCGAGUUCGACCCUCGCGGUGGGCU
Cerrena zonata is the source of this 129-nucleotide non-coding RNA. NCBI's taxonomy places the organism in Eukaryota, Fungi, Basidiomycota, Agaricomycetes, Polyporales, Cerrenaceae. The record is from the annotation of a GenBank genome assembly.